This 776-nucleotide ribosomal RNA is filed under the name uncultured Neocallimastigales. RNAcentral's name for it is "partial large subunit ribosomal RNA". It matches the Rfam family "Eukaryotic large subunit ribosomal RNA", at positions 26 to 635 of the family's 3401-position model. Lineage: Eukaryota; Fungi; Neocallimastigomycota; Neocallimastigomycetes; Neocallimastigales. The record is from RNAcentral.
CGCAUCUGUGCAUGCAGCAUAUCAAUAAGCGGAGGAAAAGAAACUAACAAGGAUUCCCCUAGUAACGGCGAGUGAAGCGGGAAGAGCUCAAAUUUGAAAUCUUAAAGGGUUUCCCUUUACGAAUUGUAGUCUAAAGAAGUGUUUUCUGUUGAGGUUUUGGUAAAAGUUCUUUGGAAUAGGGACAUCAUAGAGGGUGAGAAUCCCGUAUUUGACCUUUACUUUCAACUUUGUGAUACACUUUCAAAGAGUCGGAUUGUUUGGGAAUGCAGUCCAAAAUGGGUGGUAAAUUUCAUCUAAAGCUAAAUAUUGGCGAGAGACCGAUAGCGGACAAGUACCGUGAGGGAAAGAUGAAAAGAACUUUGAAAAGAGAGUUAAACAGUACGUGAAAUUGUCAAAAGGGAAGCGUUUGACACCAGUGUUGUUUUUCUGAAAAUCAAUUAAAGAACUGUUUAUGCUAAGCUGUUUAGACUUUAUCAGCUAAUCUGUUUAGUUUUGAGCUUUUCUUUAAUGCACUUUUCAGUUAACAAGUCAACAUCAAUUUCUUUUGCUGUAAAAAAGCUUGAGGAAGGUGGCUUGAGAUUCGUCUUAAGUGUUUAUAGCCUCUUGCCUAUGCAGUCGGAGAGAUUGAGGUCUGCAGCGUAGAUCCUUCGGGGCUAAAUGCAUUUGUGCUAAGUUAUAGCAUUUUAUAGACAACUUGUUGACUAUGAUUUGUCUUGUAGCUUACUCGCUUAUGUUAUUUUACCUACGCUUAGGAUGUUGAACGCGCACAGAGUCUC